GAUAAGAACGCAGCGAAAUGCGAUAAGUAAUGUGAAUUGCAGAAUUCAGUGAAUCAUCGAAUCUUUGAACGCACAUUGCGCCCCCUGGUAUUCCGGGGGGCAUGCCUGUCCGAGCGUCAUUACAACCCUCAAGCUCAGCUUGGUGUUGGGCCCCGCCGCCCCGGCGGGCCCUAAAGUCAGUGGCGGUGCCGUCCGGCUCCGAGCGUAGUAAUUCUUCUCGCUCUGGAGGUCCGGUCGUGUGCUCGCCAGCAACCCCCAAUUUUUUUCAGGUUGACCUCGGAUCAGGUAGGGAUACCCGCUGAACUUAAGCAUAUCAAUAAGCGGAGGA
Molecule: unclassified non-coding RNA, 328 nt
Filed under: soil metagenome
Description: partial contains 5.8S ribosomal RNA, internal transcribed spacer 2, and large subunit ribosomal RNA
Rfam family: 5.8S ribosomal RNA (bases 4-119)
Source: RNAcentral